This is a non-coding RNA of Pogona vitticeps (central bearded dragon), 519 nucleotides long. The record is from RefSeq and is a predicted model, not a curated record. NCBI's taxonomy places the organism in Eukaryota, Metazoa, Chordata, Lepidosauria, Squamata, Agamidae.
AAAGGAAAUUGAAGAAUUUGAAAGCAACUCUUUGAAAUACCUACAACCGGAACAAAUAGAAAAAAUAUGGCUUCGUCUCAGAGGAUUCCCUGCAUUGGGAGUUCCCUUUCCAUGGAUUCAUCAAUAGCAUCACAACUUCAGCCAUGUGGAUAUUGUCAAUUUUGGGGUGUUUCCCACAGGAUUGGCUACCUGCCAGAAGUGAGAUUAACAAUUUCAGGACAAACACUGCACAAUCAAUCCUGCCCAUUUGCCAUACCCACACCAACCACCAUAAGUAAAUGAAGUGCUCAAUUUCUGGAUUGUUUGUAGGAUAAAUGAUAAUGGCUAUUGAUUAGGUGAUAACUUAUCACAAUGUAUGUGCCACUUCUUGGUAUGUUGGUUGAGAGAACCUGUACAGAUGACAGCAAUAUGAUAGAUUAAUUCUGUCUCUUGUCCUGUUUAGCUAUAUUAUAGUGAUUAUUUUGCAACAUCAUGGACAAUGUGUGGUAGAAUAUAUAAUAAAAUAACUCACUGUGUGCA